Molecule: ribosomal RNA, 637 nt
Filed under: uncultured bacterium
Lineage: Bacteria
Description: bacterial SSU rRNA
Rfam family: Bacterial small subunit ribosomal RNA
Source: RNAcentral
GCUUAACCGGAGAAGUGCAUCGGAAACUGGGAGACUUGAGUGCAGAAGAGGACAGUGGAACUCCAUGUGUAGCGGUGGAAUGCGUAGAUAUAUGGAAGAACACCAGUGGCGAAGGCGGCUGUCUAGUCUGUAACUGACGCUGAGGCUCGAAAGCAUGGGUAGCGAACAGGAUUAGAUACCCUGGUAGUCCAUGCUGUAAACGAUGAGUGCUAAGUGUUGGAGGGUUUCCGCCCUUCAGUGCUGCAGCUAACGCAUUAAGCACUCCGCCUGGGGAGUACGACCGCAAGGUUGAAACUCAAAGGAAUUGACGGGGGCCCGCACAAGCGGUGGAGCAUGUGGUUUAAUUCGAAGCUACGCGAAGAACCUUACCAGGUCUUGACAUCUUCUGCCAAUCUUAGAGAUAAGACGUUCCCUUCGGGGACAGAAUGACAGGUGGUGCAUGGUUGUCGUCAGCUCGUGUCGUGAGAUGUUGGGUUAAGUCCCGCAACGAGCGCAACCCUUAUUAUCAGUUGCCAGCAUUCAGUUGGGCACUCUGGUGAGACUGCCGGUGACAAACCGGAGGAAGGUGGGGAUGACGUCAAAUCAUCAUGCCCCUUAUGACCUGCGCUACACACGUGCUACAAUGGACGGUACAACG